UCUGAGCUUUCAGACUUCUCCGACAAUGAGCUUCUCCAUCCAUCUACCGUGCCGCUCUAAAGGCUCUUUAGGCCUCACUGUCAGCCGACCUUCUACAGUGACCAACUAUUCUCCGAACUCCUUCCGGACUCCGUCGAUAUCCGAGCUUCUUCGACAAUAAGGUUUCUACAGAGAUCGGACUUCAUCCAAGUUUCUACGGUGGUCGACCGCCUUCAAAAUUCUAACUGGACUCCUG
This 235-nucleotide long non-coding RNA is filed under the name Elaeis guineensis (African oil palm). RNAcentral describes it as "long non-coding RNA (EGUI_LNC015386)". Lineage: Eukaryota; Viridiplantae; Streptophyta; Magnoliopsida; Arecales; Arecaceae. The record is from RNAcentral.